Maniola jurtina (meadow brown) is the source of this 176-nucleotide long non-coding RNA. RefSeq lists it as uncharacterized. The transcript has 3 exons. NCBI's taxonomy places the organism in Eukaryota, Metazoa, Arthropoda, Insecta, Lepidoptera, Nymphalidae. The record is from RefSeq and is a predicted model, not a curated record.
UAUUAAAGAAAAACUAGGCCAAGUGCGAGCCAGACCCGCGCACCGAAGAUUCCGUACUACAGUGGUAUUUUUUCGACAUUUUGGACGAUAAAUCAAAAACUAUUAUGCAUAAAAAUAAAUAAAAAUCUGUUUUAAAAUGUACAGGUAAAAAUCUUUUCAUAUAUUGUAUGCAUACC